Molecule: small RNA, 110 nt
Filed under: pig gut metagenome
Description: drum RNA
Rfam family: drum RNA
About the family: Firmicutes, Bacteroidetes (1 example), Proteobacteria (2 examples), Spirochaetes (2 examples).
Source: RNAcentral
AGCGUUGAGGUAAGGUGUUGUGCCGGAGAGCAGUGCCUUAUGAGCUUUAUAAGGGUUGGACAUUUACCACAAUCCGGCUAGUGACCGUAGGUCAACGAAAGAAAAUGUCA